UUCAUAACCCUUUGUUGUCCGACUCUGUUGCCUCCGGGGCGACCCUGCCUUCGGGCGGGGGCUCCGGGUGGACACUUCAAACUCUUGCGUAACUUUGCAGUCUGAGUAAACUUAAUUAAUAAAUUAAAACUUUUAACAACGGAUCUCUUGGUUCUGGCAUCGAUGAAGAACGCAGCGAAAUGCGAUAAGUAAUGUGAAUUGCAGAAUUCAGUGAAUCAUCGAAUCUUUGAACGCACAUUGCGCCCCCUGGUAUUCCGGGGGGCAUGCCUGUUCGAGCGUCAUUUCACCACUCAAGCCUCGCUUGGUAUUGGGCAACGCGGUCCGCCGCGUGCCUCAAAUCGUCCGGCUGGGUCUUCUGUCCCCUAAGCGUUGUGGAAACUAUUCGCUAAAGGGUGUUCGGGAGGCUACGCCGUAAAACAACCCCAUUUCUAAGGUUGACCUCGGAUCAGGUAGGGAUACCCGCUGAACUUAAGCAUAUC
Molecule: ribosomal RNA, 479 nt
Filed under: uncultured fungus
Lineage: Eukaryota; Fungi
Description: eukaryotic LSU rRNA
Rfam family: 5.8S ribosomal RNA (bases 128-281)
Source: RNAcentral